RNAcentral lists this long non-coding RNA (432 nucleotides) under Nicotiana benthamiana. RNAcentral's name for it is "long non-coding RNA (NBEN_LNC015721)". Lineage: Eukaryota; Viridiplantae; Streptophyta; Magnoliopsida; Solanales; Solanaceae. The record is from RNAcentral.
ACUUUGGUACCAAUAUCCCAGAACAUUGUCCCGAAAAUGAGUGCUAUAAAGGUUGUGAAGAUAAAUCUGACUGCAGUGUAAGCCGGAUUACGCCAAUAUGACCAGUGUUGUUUCCAGAGGCAAGCCAUACACUGGGUCCAAAAAGGCUGUGAGAAUUCAGAAUCAAAAUGCAGGUCACUUGUACCAGGUCGUCUUCCAUAGACAAGCCAUACAUUGGGUCCAAAAUGACUGAGAGAAUUCAGAAUCAAAAUGCAGGUCACUUGUACCAGGUUGUGGCAUGCUUAGUUCAUCAAUCAAGGCUUUGUUUCUCCUGUAGAGGUCUGACUUCUUGUACAAUUCAGUAAAAUCAACUCCUAAUGCCAUUUCUUGUGAUGAGGCUGUGACUUCUAACAUCCAAGUUGCUGGAUUGUAACCUUCCACUAUUUUGCUUAC